RNAcentral lists this ribosomal RNA (801 nucleotides) under uncultured Rubrobacter sp. RNAcentral describes it as "bacterial SSU rRNA". It matches the Rfam family "Bacterial small subunit ribosomal RNA", at positions 8 to 796 of the family's 1533-position model. Lineage: Bacteria; Bacillati; Actinomycetota; Rubrobacteria; Rubrobacterales; Rubrobacteraceae. The record is from RNAcentral.
AGAGUUUGAUCAUGGCUCAGGACGAACGCUGACGGUGUGCUUUAGGCAUGCAAGUCGAACGAGAAAGCCCUUCGGGGUUAGUAAAGUGGCGAACGGGUGAGUAACACGUGGGCAACCUGCCCCUCGCAGGGGGACAACCGGAGGAAACUCCGGCUAAUACCCCGUACGCUUGUUGGAUCGCAUGGUCCGGCAAGGAAAGGUAGCUUCGGCCAUCCGGCGAGGGAUGGGCCCGCGUUGCAUUAGCUAGUUGGUGGGGUAACGGCCUACCAAGGCGACGAUGCGUAGCUGGUCUGAGAGGAUGAUCAGCCACACUGGGACUGAGACACGGCCCAGACUCCUACGGGAGGCAGCAGCCAGGAAUCUUGGGCAAUGGGCGAAAGCCUGACCCAGCAACACCGUGUGGGUGAUGAAGGCCUUAGGGUCGUAAAGCCCUGUUGAUAGGGACGAAGGGCGAAGGGUUAAUAGCCCCUAGCUUGACGGUACCUUUCGAGGAAGCCCCGGCUAACUACGUGCCAGCAGCCGCGGUAAUACGUAGGGGGCGAGCGUUGUCCGGAAUUAUUGGGCGUAAAGAGCGUGUAGGCGGUUCGGUAAGUCUGCUGUGAAAUCCUGGGGCUCAACCCUGGGCGUGCAGCGGAUACUGCCGGGCUAGAGGGUGGUAGAGGCGAGUGGAAUUCCGAGUGUAGCGGUGAAAUGCGCAGAUAUUCGGAGGAACACCAGUAGCGAAGGCGGCUCGCUGGGCCACACCUGACGCUGAGACGCGAAAGCGUGGGGAGCGAACAGGAUUAGAUACCCUCGUAGUCC